UUUGAGAACCCCUGGUAUAGGAUAUCACCAGGUCCAGUCAUCAGUGGCCCUGGGAAAACCAGAUGGAAUGUUGGUGUCCAAGAUUCUGUGGCAGUUGGAAAAAAUCUAUUUGAACUGUUGGGUAAUAUAAAGAAAAAUAAACAUCAGUAAUAGAAGCAUUCAUUUGGAGUUCAUCUGAGCAACAUAUUGCAUGCAGCUGUCUGAAGAGAGAAGAAAAAAUAAAGCUGAAUCAAAAAUUAGCGAUUGGGAAACAGACAACUUGGUACAGAGAAACAUCAGCUUAUCUGUGAACCACUCUGGCCAAGAAAUCUUGCAAAACAAGGCUCUCUCAGCUUCCAGUUUCAAAUAGACAAAGCAUUCUCCUCCACUUUCAGUUCUGAACUGUUGAAUAGCUUUGGAAUGGUUAGCUGUGGAUUAGCAGUGAGAAUUGCCCUUACCAAGGAUUUUAGUCAUUUUCCUGGCUGAAUCUCAGGUCUAUAACCCAUUCUUAUCCUCCUGGAACUAUGCUGCUUUUAAUGAUGUUUGUCACAUCUUCCUGCUUGGCUAUUGUAACUGUCCUCCUCCUGGUGCUUCUCCUCUCUCUGAUCAUUUCUACUGCAUCUGAAUAGGUAGGUCCUCCUUCUCCACUCUCCAUGGUGGUCCCUUUGGGCUCCAUCUUUGACCCUCUCCUCUCACUUUACUCCCUUUCUUUAGGUACACACAUCCAUUCACACAAUUUCAACCAUCAUCUUCAUGCUGGUGAUUGUCAAAUCUGCCUUUUUACUCCUGACUCCUCUUCUUCCAUCCAGUCCUGCUUUCAGCCUGAGAUCUCCUCCCGUGUAUCUUGUCAAUUUAACACAGCAAAAACUGAACACCUGAACUUUUCUCUAAAAUAGUCUCAGCUCACUGUAUUCUCUACAGCACCUUUUUUCUCACUGAAGCCCAAAGCCUAGAAGUCAUUUUUGACUCCACAGAAAAAAGCAGAAACCAUGUUUAGUGAAGAUGAAGCAUAGAGCUGAGUAUCAUCCAUACAGUGGUGGCAAUGCUUCAACCCAGUACAUCUCACAGUCUCUCCUAGCAGCCUCAAAUUCCUGUGGAGCAGGAUACAUGACCAGACUAAGUAAGCAGUGCCCUAUAGUUGAGGGUCCCUGAGGAGAUAGGGAAAUUGCUCAG
Mauremys reevesii (Reeves's turtle) is the source of this 1152-nucleotide long non-coding RNA. RefSeq lists it as uncharacterized. Lineage: Eukaryota; Metazoa; Chordata; Testudines; Geoemydidae. The transcript has 3 exons. The record is from RefSeq and is a predicted model, not a curated record.